GUUUCCUUCAGACAACACAUAGACACGUAGAGUCAAACCUCCCGGUUGAGCUAUGAAGACAGAGCAAACCUGUGUGGAGACACCGGCGACUCUCCGGGAGCCCAAAGACGUGCUCCAAAAAGAGGCGCACAGGGAAGAGGAGGACCCGCAGAAACAGGACGAAGCAAAUUACGUUCAUUUGGAAUUAAUGGACGUCAACUUAUGCGGGACAAACCCGGAAAAAGACUCCGGCUUUGGCCAAAACAAAGACCACAUGCCUGUCCUCGUCAACAGCAGCAACGACGGAGGUCUGCGCGCAACGGAAGCGGCCAAGGAGGUGGUGAUUAAAACCAACACUGAAACUAAGACAAAAAAUGAUUCUGAAGUUAGAAAAUAUGUAGAGGGUGUCAACGGGGGUCCAUCUGAUCUAUCAAAUCUUAAUGCAAAGUCGAAGGGUUGCUUCAAAUCAGGCGUCGAAGGUGAGCUCGCGAUAACGCAGCCGGAGGUGUCCAAAAUAGAAGACAACAAAAACCCUCCAACAUGUGAGGGAUUACACAGUAUUGAUAACUAUCUGAGCGGGAGAAGUGAUGAGGAUAGUGAAGAAGAGGACGAUGAUGUCUGUUCCGUGCUUUGCGACGACUGCGUCCCGUGCGUAACGGAGGAUGAGUCCCAUUAUAUCACCACGCACGAGAUCCAGCUCCUGGAGCUCUCUGAUCACGAGCAGGACUUCGAUCUCGCUGGCGGCUCCUCCGCCAGCUGGGAGAUCGAGGACGACAACCAGGUGUACUCGUUUGUCGACUACGCCUCGUCUAACGGCGGUGGGGCGGCGGGGGAGAGAGGGGACGCCGCACAGCCUCGCUCAACGGCCGCGACAGCAGCAGUCAGCAGUCAGCUGGAAAGUGAUCCCAUCGAUGAGGCCAAAUUCACCAGCUCAGAUGAGAGUGUGUCAAAGCACCUGCAGCAGCAGCAGCAGCGCAGUGGCAACAGUUCGGGACAGAUCCACCUGUCAAUCAGAACCACGUCUCGAGCUAUAAAUGACCCUGGCAGCAUCCAACAACGGGGGGGAAUUCUUUAUCAUACCAGGCGCUCCGGGGAUACGAGUCGCUACGUGUUGAGGGGGGUUGAUGGGAAGGCAGAGACGUUGUGUGACAGGGCGAAGUGUUUCAUAGCCGCGCCCGGACGCUUGCACUUUGGCCGCAGAUUGACAGGCAAAGAGGUCACCGGGUAUUCCAGCGGUGCGUCCAGCGCUGUCAGCUCGCUGGAUGAGGCUGACACGGAGGUACGCAACCUGACAGCCAAAGCCUUCAAGAGCCUGGCGUACCCCUACUUUGAAUCCAUCAAUUUCAGCACCUCUAGUGAGUCUUCGGCAUCAGAGCAAGGGAUAAACAGUUGGGCUACGUUUGUUGACCUGAAAUAUGGCAAUGUGAACAUGGCACGGGGUCUGGACCAAAGUGUGCUUUCCCAUCAAAACUCUGCAGCCUCGUUUGAAAUAGCAAAGGAUAUAGAAAAUAUAGGCUGUAAGGGCGUCGCUCUGGCGAGCAUCAAACCGCCAUCCAGCAAGAUAUUCACUAUAAAUGGCGAACCCCACGGCACGUCGUCAUCAAAGCAAAUCCAGCUGACCGGGGAAUUCAGUCAGAGCCACGGCGGAGUGAUUAGACUCACGGAGACUCUGAAUUUCCGUUGCAAUGUCAAAUCAGGAAUGUCUGGUGGAGAAAGGCUCUCUAAGUUUGCACAAAACUCUGCAGGAUCACGUUCCACAGAUGCGGUUACCAACAGGAUGCCAAGUGGCCAGAGGAGAGGGGCCAGCAAGUCGCCUUCUGAAACCAUGGAAGACACGCACAAGAAAGCGGUAUUCGCCUCGAGCCUGAUUAAAAAUGUUAUUUCUAAGAAGAUGCAGUUCGAGAAGGAGCGCAAGAUGGAACGAGGGGAGAUUAGCGAGCGGCAUCCAACGCCCUCGCCGUGCUUCGCGCACCAGGAGAGCGACGGCCACGGGGAGAAGGGGAGCAAGGAGCUGCGCAGACAGAGCUCCAAGUUUUCCGAGAGCAGCGCCGAGUACGCAAUCAUGUACGUGGAUGACUUCGGGGACCUCUUGGACAGCGGCUCGUGUGAAACCAGGAGCGACUCCCGGAGACAAGACGCGGCCGCUCCCGCGCCUCAAACUCAUUUGGAACCGGCCCACAACGCUUGGAUCGCAGCUAAAGAAGGCGAGUUGGACGCGUCCAAAAGCACGCUCCCUCGCAGCCAAAAUAGCGCCUUCAGGUGCUGGCGGGACGAGGAGCUAGAGUUUCAAAAGGAUCGUAAAAACGACAAAACUCCCGUGAAGUUGCACCCGGCUGACGGAAAAGAGAGCGAGGGGGAGCAGCACUCCGCGGGAAGCGGCAAACUGACGAAAAUGUCACGUUUGUUUGUGCCAAGUAUCCAACUGCUAUCUGGUGAGGGAGAAGCCGCACAGCAGCUGCGGAACAGAAAGGAUUCGUCACAUUGGGACGGAGGAGAGGUCAAACGCUCCAACGGCACGUUGCACGUCGCAGGCUCCGCGGUGGCGGCAACGUCUAAAUCUCCUGAAAUUAAAAUUAAUUUAAGGAGCGUCAGAGACAAUCAAAUGUAUCCUUUCGGCGUUUCGAAACUACGCGCUCCCAAUAUAGGCUGCAACGCCGCGGGCCUCUUCGGGACGGAUGAUUUCAAACGCCAGGCGCUGGCUGCUGCUCUGAAAGGUGAGUCUUCAGACAAAGUGCCGCACUUCAUGGUCAGAGACAUCCGAGAUAACAAAGCGAAGCUGCAGACGCCCAUCCACCAAGUGAGAGACGUGCGCAAACUGGUGAAAAGUUCCUAUCACUUUGUCUCCUUGGACAACAACGAAAAUAAAUCCGUUAGCCACUCGGCGCCAAAGAAGCAAACGUCCUAUCGGAAUUGCAAUGCCGUGUCCCCUAUAAUGAUCAAAUGUCAGUCUGUGAAUACAAAUAACGGGAAACAUUCUGAAAAUCUUACCGACUCGUCUAAAGAGGAGCCGUUUGACGCAAACAGGUUGACUCCAGAGGGCGCUAAAAAGGCUCAGCCGCAAAGUGCAGGUGGGAGAGCACCCAUGGGCGACACCAGUGACCCCUCAGUUGGAGUCAUUGGGUUGACAAUUGAAAGCCGAGCAGCAUCAACAAAGCAGGACAACGAGUCAAAGAUCACUAACCAGGGGGCUUUGGCAAAACUGCAGGCUGCGGUGAAAACCAUGGAGCAGCUGUAUAAAUUUGAAAAAAAUGAAUGGAAAAGGAAGACUGAGCCUCAUCUCCUGACAGACAGCCACGUGCUCUCAUUGAUUGCUGGUGAGGAGCACGGAGGACUUGAGAACGACGGCCAGAAAGCGGCAACGGAGAGAGCGGCCAGAACAGGCUCCUGCCAAAACAAUGACAAUAACUCACCAGCAUUGGGGGUGUCCCCUGGCACCGCCAGCCUGCUGCAGCGAGAGGACAAAGACCCCUCCAGGUUCCUCCAGCAUCCCGGCAGCCGCGAGGACGGGCUCGUCGCGAGGUCAAUUGAAGCUGUGGGUGACAGAAACACGUCAAAAGCCAUCACUCAAACUAAUUUCAGCAACAAAAGCUUCCUCCCCAAGUCCCCCAAAUUGCCUGUGUCCCUAAAAGUCAGCCGGACGAAGCCAAGUGGGAAUGAAGGAGCCAAAUCAAAGGAGGUUGAGAGGUCCACACAAGAGCUCUUCGGUGUAUCAGCUGACAACGAGAACUACCUAACCAUUCCUGCUCAGUCUCGAAUCAGCAGCAACAGACAAGUCCCAUCUGCUGAUAAAACAACUGUGUACAACCACACACACCCAACCACACCUUCAGGUCAUUUGGGUUCCGGUGCACGGGGAUUUGACAACACAGGAUCCAGCCUUGUGAUGGACACAGGCUUACCCGAGAAUCCUCCUGCUACCAUCUACCACUCUUUGCCAUUGGGAAUGUCCACCAAUCAGCCGCGGAUGUUUUGCUUCUCUCCUGCGAUCGGCCCCUCUCCCACCGUGGACCCCUUCCAAGUCACGCAGAGAAAGAUGCUCCUGGAUCCCACCACCGGGAGCUACUACCUGGUGGACACUCCUGUUCAGCCCGCCAGCAGGCGCCUCUUUGACCCCGAAACAGGCCAGUAUGUGGACGUGCCCAUGCCACAACCUUCCAUGACCCCGGUGCCCUUGCCCAUCUCACCUUUGGCCCUCAGUCCAGGAGCGUACGGACACACCUACAUGAUCUACCCGGGCUUCAUGCCGACUCCUUCCAUGAUCCCAGCCCGGGCGCUGGCGCAGUCGCAGAUGUCGAUGCAGUCCGAAGCGGAGGGCGGAGGGAAAGCCGCGACACAGCAGGCCGAAGGCAGGUACGUGGAGAGUCCCUUCUACAUGGCCACAGAAAAGUCUCCUGUGCAGGCGGGCUACGGGGCUCAUCCGCCGGCCGCCACAAACAGGCCGCCGCAGGGUUUCCACAGCAUCAGGCAGCCGGUCAUCAGCAUCACCUCGCAGCAGGGGCCGCGGAUCAUUGCUCCGCCCUCAUUCGACGGGACCACGAUGAGCUUCGUGGUGGAGCACAGGUGAACAGCAGCUUACCUGGGCAGUGUGAGACUUUUGCAGCCCGAGUAUGUUUCCUGUUGUCCCCGUACAGGCUGUCAGAGUGUCUGGGCUGAACUCUGAGUGGACGCUGCACUGCCCUGGCGUUUCGUCUCUUCAUUGUGCUACUUUAGUCAUUGGCUGGAUGUGAUGAAUCAGGGCCCUUUCAUAAUGUGGCUUAUUUUCCUCCAGUUUGACCUUUUCUAUAUUGUAUAUGAUGUGUUUAAAUAUGUUUGUUUUUUAUAACACCACAUUGUAAAUAAUUGAAGGAAUCAAUUUGUAGGCCUUUGCUUUCAAUCACCUCGUGAACUAAUCUUGGAUUUGACAGAUUAUGUUGAUUUUUGUGAUUGUUAAAAUUGUCUUAUUUUACAACACAACUUUAAUGAUGACAUAAUUUAGCAUGACAUCUAUAUUAGCUUGAAUUGAAUAUUAGAACCUCUUGGGUGUUUGAUUGUAUACAGCUUUAAAAUGCAGAAAAGUCAGCAUUCACCAUGAUUUAUUAUUCACCCGGAAAUAUCAUAAUUAGUAAGUUAACCUUGCUGAAUUCCGUAACAUAAUAAUAUGAAGGCACGAUGUGACUUUACCGUGCACAAUAGAUAUUCUGGAGAUUCAUCACCAUGCAUGUGUCCUACAGAGUAGAAUGUUCAAUUCAGUUUUAGCUAUGUUUGAGAUGUAUUUCUGCAGGAAUGACUGUCACUUAAUUUAGUAUUUUGGCACUGACUUACUGUUGUGUAUUUAUAAUUGUUCAUACUGUGGAUCUGCUGGCCAGUCCCCCCUUUUCAUUAGAAUUAACUGUUUGCUACUUUACUGUAUUUAUGCUAGGACACUAGAAAACAUCCAGCAUUCAUUCAUAAUAACUUCUUCUACAUAGACAAAUGAAACCAACUGUAACAGGAUUGCAUGGAGGGUUCCAAAAAAAUGGCAGCACAGUAAUCAAGAGGCAGAGGUGGAUGGUAUCUUGCAGAAAGUUUUAAUAAAACAAUGUGAAAAAUACCCCACAGAAAAUCAGCUGUCGCCAAACUAAGUUAAACUUAGGCCCUGAGACAACCACCACCACCAUCACUGCGCCUCUCUCAACCCGUCUUCCCCAGAUGUCUUUCCUUUUGGCUUUUGAACCCCCCUUGAUGAAGAGAUGAGGUCCGGAUGUGUCUCCGGGCACACCUGAUUUCCAUUCCCCUGAUGGUGUAGGUGGAAGACUUUUGGCUGAAAUGUAAACUCCCUCCACUAUCCUUCCCUUCAGCCCCUCACACAACGUAUCUUCAAUCAAUUCAAUAUAAUGUUUUGUCAAAUUUGUACUCUUCCAAACAAUGUGUAUUGAAGAAAUUUUAAAAAAGAACAUUAUAGGUUACCUUCAACAGUUUGUUCCUUCUUGCAUUUGUUGGUCCCUUCAAGUUAACACGUCACAUUGGUGAGGUUGUUGUUUGUUCAGAAAAAUCUUGUUGCCUUGUUUGCGGUUGUUGCAGCACUUUUUAAGACCUUUAGUAAGUAAGACCUUUUUUAUAUGCAUUAGUGUGCAUUAAUGUGCAUUAUUUCUACAUUUCCCUGUUGUGCAACAGAGAAAAAAGUAAAGUCUACUGAAUAGAGAAUAUUAUGAUGCAUCUCUGCUUCAAAGCCUUGCAAAAAGACCCUCAAACAGAGUGGGGCUUUGCACUUUAUGAACUAACAAUAUGUGUUGUGAAGGCAAAAGAAAGUUUAGAAAAAAUGUGGAAGUUUUAGACUUUUGAACUGAGAAGACGUAUCAUUUGUAAUGAAAUGAUGAGGACAAACAGGAAAUAGUGGGCUUAGAUGUAAAAAUGAAACAAGGAAAGCUCUUAUUCAGCUUGAAAAUAAGUUCAAAUGAAGAGUUUGUUUUGUAUUGUAAUUUGUAAUUGUAAUGAGAAUUUGGAUAGUUUUUUUAAAGAAAAGUUUAAACUGUCACAAAUAACUCAAGGGAUGUUUCAUCAGUUACUAAUUUUAACUGUGAAUAUGUAAUAAAUAUGAAAACCUUUUGCUGA
This is an RNA transcript of Pungitius pungitius (ninespine stickleback), 6549 nucleotides long. It is a transcript of the gene named chromosome 1 C4orf54 homolog, with no coding region annotated. The record is from RefSeq and is a predicted model, not a curated record. The transcript has 3 exons. NCBI's taxonomy places the organism in Eukaryota, Metazoa, Chordata, Actinopteri, Perciformes, Gasterosteidae.